UCGCCGGACCACGUGGUUCGCGCCCCUCUCCUCCAAUCGCGGCCGGGCGAGGAGGCGCGCGCCUUGCCUGCGGGGUGGAGGAGCGCGGCGUUCUAAGCCCUUCCGCCCCGCCUCCUUCCCCGCCGCCAUCUUGUCUCCUCACACGCGAGCCGUGCGUAGCCGGCGGCCUGAGAUGAGCGGGGCGCUCGACCCCGCGCGUCCCCACACACGCGAAACGGGACGGUUGCUUCCAAGUAUUCGAGGAAAAGGGAGCGGUGGAGGCGGAUGGAGGGCGCAACUACCUUUAGAUAUACAGUAUAUCUUUUUAUUUUUAUUGAACUGGUCGGUCUCUAUCUUGGCACAGGCAGGGCAACCCGAAGCGUCGUAACAGCCACCGGCCAGCCCACCUUCUUCCACGGAACUAAGUGGAAUAAAGCUGCGAUCCUAAACACCCAUAGCUUCGGCGUCAGGAAGCUGCUCAUCAGGUCCAUCUACCUCAGUAUUGUCUGCACUGAGUGGCAGCAGCUUCCCAGGAUUUCUGGCAGGAGCCUCUCCCAACUCUAAUCUGGGGGUGUCGGGGAUCGAACCCGGGACCUUCCGCUUGCAAGGCGGACGCUUUGCUCCUGAGCUAUGGGUUGCUCGGAGUUCUUCAGUUUCUACGGGGCCCAUCAAAUAAGAAUAAAAUACUCACGGCUUAGGCACGCCCUUAAUCCUUUUGUAGUGGGACGGCUUGUUAAUAACCCGCCUGUAGCAUUUAUAAAUUGCACCCGUUACUCGAAGCAGCCGAGCCGAUAGCAAACUUCCGCUCAAGCGGACCUGCCUGCUUUACUUGGAAGCAAGUCCUAUUGAAAUUGGUGGGAUUUGCAGUGCGAUUCUAACCAUAUCUACACCCAAGCAAGUCAUGCUGAAUUUAGUGGCAUUUGCUACCAGGUUUUGUUCUUGGCUGCAGCUCAGGGUUAGAGAUGAAAGAGCUUUCGGAGAACUGCUCUCUAAACCCUGCACAGUCGCAUGAUCCUGAACAACGAAAUUGAAAAAAUCUACAUGAGACAUUCAAAACCAACAAGCCUGCUACUGGAAACCUGGAAGAUGGUGUGGAAAGGAAGCAAAGGAGAAACCAAAAGCGGACCUUCCCUGUCUUGACGUUUUAGAACGAUAUUUCUAAUAUCAUUCUAAUAACGUUUAAAAGUAGGCAUCCAGCCUACCUGCCCAGAUCCCUGGGCUUAACCAAACUCACCAUAUCCAAGCACCAGGAUCACCAGCACAAUCAUCACCC
Molecule: long non-coding RNA, 1252 nt
Organism: Podarcis muralis (Common wall lizard)
Lineage: Eukaryota; Metazoa; Chordata; Lepidosauria; Squamata; Lacertidae
Source: RefSeq, a predicted model, not a curated record